Non-coding RNA from Cicer arietinum (chickpea), 290 nucleotides. NCBI's taxonomy places the organism in Eukaryota, Viridiplantae, Streptophyta, Magnoliopsida, Fabales, Fabaceae. The record is from RefSeq and is a predicted model, not a curated record.
GUAUGAUUGUGUGCGUUAUUAUACAUAUUGUAAUCUACUUUGUAGGUCAAAGGACAUAACUUGUUUUGUUUGUUUAGGUCAUCCUUGGAUAUGUGAAAAUGGAGUUGCCCCUGACAGAUCAUUGGACCCUGCUGUUCUUUCUCGUCUCAAACAGUUUUCUGCAAUGAAUAAGCUAAAGAAGAUGGCAUUGCGGGUAAUUGCCGAAAGUCUAUCUGAAGAGGAAAUUGCUGGUUUGAGAGAAAUGUUCCAGACUAUGGAUACUGAUAACAGUGGUGCAAUCACUUUUGAUG